This 497-nucleotide ribosomal RNA is filed under the name uncultured bacterium. Its description in RNAcentral is "partial 16S ribosomal RNA". It matches the Rfam family "Bacterial small subunit ribosomal RNA", at positions 28 to 507 of the family's 1533-position model. The record is from RNAcentral.
GAUGAACGCUGGCGGCGUGCCUAAUACAUGCAAGUCGAGCGAACGGACGAGAAGCUUGCUUCUCUGAUGUUAGCGGCGGACGGGUGAGUAACACGUGGAUAACCUACCUAUAAGACUGGGAUCACUUCGGGAAACCGGAGCUAAUACCGGAUAAUAUUUUGAACCGCAUGGUUCAAAAGUGAAAGACGGUCUUGCUGUCACUUCUAGAUGGAUCUGCGCUGCAUUAGCUAGUUGGUAAGGUAACGGCUUACCAAGGCAACGAUGCAUAGCCGACGUGAGAGGGUGAUCGGCCACACUGGAGCUGAGACACGGUCAAUACGCCUACGGGAGGCAGCAGUAGGGAAUCUUCCGCAAUGGGCGAAAGCCUGACGGAGCAACGCCGCGUGAGUGAUGAAGGUCUUCGGAUCGUAAAACUCUGUUAUUAGGGAAGAACAUAUGUGUAAGUAACUGUGCACAUCUUGACGGUACCUAAUCAGAAAGCCACGGCUAACUACGUG